AACCUGAGCAUUCAUACUAAAAAUGCAGACAAAAGAAUUAGACUUUGACAUUUCGAUUGACGUCACUUUGAACGUCAAAGGACCUUUUAAGAUAAACAACAACGACAUUGAAGUUUGAGCUUUUAGACGGCUCGUUAUGCCGAACCGCACGUAGAUCAUCCAGGAUGACGUAUAGGUCAGAGUGAAAAGCGGGAAGUGCCAUCUAAAAUUUCACAAGAACUAUUUCUAGUUGGACGGGUCAGAUUUUUAUCUUUGUCAUCAUGGGGUAAAAGUAAAAAAAAGAAGGAAAAAGAAAGAAAAUGGACGAGCGUAAUUCUAGGAGCGUUAACGAUCGAACGUCUCUUUCUCCUUCACAUAGUACAACCAUACACCUGCGAUUACGUUACUAGCCAGAGUUCGCUAUACCUACUCGUCCGCGUCUUCGCAUACAUGUAUAUAUAUAUAUACAUAUGAAUAUGUGUACGUAUGUAUGUACGUAUGUACAUACGUAUUUACGUAGAUAUACGCACAUCUACACGUACUCAAGGAAAAGGAAAACGAGCAUACACCGACCGAUACCAGUCGGUACCUGCUAGUGUGAAAGUUAUUCCUGACGGCUAAGGCCGUUCUGCAUUUUUCGAAUAACGAGACAGCGAGUUGCCUGUUCGUAUAUAACCAUAUACCAUUAUCAAUAGAACGCUCAUACAAUAGCACAACCGAACGAAGAUCUUCUCAAACUUUCAAGAAUCGUAAGACCGCGUGCAUUUAACUAGAUGAAUGGACUUGGAAAAAUGACAAUAUUUUUUACAUCGUUCCUAACAAUUUUCUCUGGGUUUUUAUUUAUAAAUUAAACAUUAUAUUUUACGAUAAAACAACUGCUUUAAUCACCGAUAAUGGUCUUUGGUCGUGCAAAACAAAAGUUGCUUUAAAAUAUUCUUUAAUGUACGAACUUUGUGAAUCGACAUUUGUUUUCUUUAAAUCAUCAUAAUUAACAUUUAAUGUGCUUUUUAUCAAUUUAUCGAAAUCUUACGGGGGAAUGAGUUCGAUAAGAGUUCUAACUCUUGAAAUACGAAUGUCUCCGGUCUUAGCGAAAAUCUCCUACAAAAAAGAAGAAAAGAAAAAAAAAAUAGGAAAACAGAGGAUAAUAUACGAGUCCAUUUCCGUAGUAAUGUUUAUAAGGUCCGAGAGGAACCUAUCCCCUAGAGAAAUAUUCCUCCUCAUUCUGAUAGGCCGAGAUAAUCGCAAUUCGACACGACAGGCGUUUUCCACUCACGCUCGCAGCGAAAGGUUACUCGUAUAAAAAGGAAUCUCGCAUUCAUUAAUUUACUUUCUAGUAUAAAUUAAAUUAAUUAGUAUCGUCGUGAAACAACGAGACAAUUUUUUUCUCUUUUGAAAUUUUACGAUUUCGUUCUUUUUUCUUUUUUUUUUUCUUUUUUUUUUUUUUACCGAUUAAUUAUACUUAUUAGCUUCUGACAACUUUUAUAAACACACUAUUACUGCUUUUCCUUUCUUUAUAUAUUUAUUAUAGAGUUUCGGGACCUGAAACACUCCGUGACAGAUUUAUCACAUCACCGAGCUUUAUUUAUUAUUCAACAAAAAUGAGUUCGCGUCACUCUUAUUUUUGCGAUAACAACCAUAUACAUUCUCUUCUUGUUCUUCUUCGAAACGCAACGCAGAAAGAGAAGAACGAAUAGCGAAUCUGGUAAAGUUUGAUUAAGAAACGUUCAUUCCUUUGGCAAGCUUUUAAGGAUAGUCGCUUAAAAGUUGACAUUUUUUUCUUGAAAAGCACACGUUGUAAGUUAGAUUGGUCGGACGUUUUCAAUUAAACUCUUCGAUAAUAUUUUUCCAGAAUAGUCAGAUCGUUUGGCAAUCAAUCCCUGGACCGUUUUUCACUUUCGAACGUAACUAUUUCGAAUUGAAAUGUGCAAAGUAAUUAACGACGUACGAGACUAUCUUGAAAUUUAUAAGAAUUUUAUCAUUGAAGUAGCAUGAAUUUGUAUUGUGGCAUAAAAUUGUAGAUAUACGAUAAAGCAAAAUUUAAUAAUAGAUACCUUACAAACCGAAAAUUUCGAAUAAUAUAAUAUCGUAUUAUUUUGUACUUAAGAAAAGAAAAGAAAAAUAAAAGAAAAACAAUACAUAUUAUCUUCCCACUGUUUUGAUAAUAAUUAUUAUUCGGAAUAGUAUUGUUGUUUAGUCAUUUCAACAAAACUUUCCGUAAGAAUUUAGUAUACUAUAUAGAAAAAUGUACGAGGAUUCGCGCCGGAACUCAGAACUUCGGCACCUGUUGAUUCUUUCCUUGCAAUCUCGUGACAAAAAGUCCGAUGAAAACGGUACUUAAUUAUGUAUUUCACGAUACACAAUGAAGGACGGACUAAAACAAGUUUUCUAUGAAAAAUCGCACGUUCCAGUUUCUCCUGAAAGUGGCGAUGAAGUCGUAUUCGAUACUCCGAGAAAGUAUUCAGUUGUACAUCGUUUUGUAAGACCUCGUCAUUUCUUUCGAUUUUAUAUACGAUAAAGGUUAUUUCGUCGAUAUGGUUUCACCGACGUAAGUAAAAAAAUACUUUUACUCGUUCGACGAUUUGAUUUGGCAAGCACCUUUGAAAUCACCGACGCAACGACGAGACCCAUCGCAAACUAAGCGCAUUCAAAGGUCAAACAAAUACUAUACGAUAAAUCAUUUAUUGAGUUUUGCUUUCGAGUACAUUGCUCCCGUUUCUACAUUAAAAAAACAAAAGGCAGAAAGAAAGAAAGAAAGAAAAAACGUUUCAAUCUUGGCACAAGAUCGAAGGAUUUUAUACUUUCAAGAGAACAUUCGCCGUAAUGGAAUUCCGAAAUCGGUCGAGAGAUAUGGAUUUUGUUCUUUGAAGUAUUCCCUGACACAUUGUUUAAUAAUUUAAACGUAAUAUCUAAAUAUUCUAUUGACCUCUCAUCACUGAAAUUCCUCGUAUUAAAAAUUUACGAGCAGAUUUAAUAUUCGUCGAUCAGUUUCAAAGCCGCAUUCAUUAUCGUUUGUUUGUAUCCAGAUAAUAUAAAAAACCAAUAAAUCAAUGCUCCGGAAUGAUUUUCGCCUUCUCUCUGUGAAAAUCGUCGAGAAUGUAAAGUAAAAAGUAAUAAAGAGAAAUAAAAUAAAAGCCAAAAGAUAUUAAUGUAAUAAAAUUUUACAGUCACAGGUAGUAACAGAAGUAAUUCCUAUGGGAAAUAUCUGACUCUUAUAAAAGAAAACAAAAACAUAAACAAAAAAAAGAGAGAGAAACAAAUAUCUCGAGAGGG
Vespa mandarinia (Asian giant hornet) is the source of this 3249-nucleotide long non-coding RNA. The record is from RefSeq and is a predicted model, not a curated record. Lineage: Eukaryota; Metazoa; Arthropoda; Insecta; Hymenoptera; Vespidae.